Molecule: ribosomal RNA, 253 nt
Filed under: uncultured bacterium
Lineage: Bacteria
Description: partial 16S ribosomal RNA
Rfam family: Bacterial small subunit ribosomal RNA
Source: RNAcentral
UACGAAGGGGGCUAGCGUUGUUCGGAUUUACUGGGCGUAAAGCGUGCGCAGGCGGUUUGCUAAGAGAGAUGUGAAAUCCCCGGGCUUAACCUGGGAACUGCGUUUCUAACUGGCAGGCUUGAGUGUGGCAGAGGGGGGUGGAAUUCCACGUGUAGCAGUGAAAUGCGUAGAGAUGUGGAGGAACACCGAUGGCGAAGGCAGCCCCCUGGGCUAACACUGACGCUCAUGCACGAAAGCGUGGGGAGCAAACGGG